GAGGCGAUUGUGAACGACAGGGUGCAGCGAGAUCGAGUAGGGCAUUAGACAGAGGUUGGGGGGUGGGAGGCGAGACCACUUUCUAUGAUGGGUGGGGUGAACCUGGUGAGAUCGGUUAGCUCGACCCCGGUCUACUUGCUGGCUCACACUACUAUGCCCAAGGCUUCGCUGGUGAAGGCGGAGCAGCUGUUCAAGAACUUCAUAUGGGGAGUGUAGGAUGGUAGGAGGGGACUUCAUCUUGUUGCUUGGGAGGUGGUACGUUAGCCCUUAGGCUGCGGGGGUCUAGGUAUCUGUUCUUUAUUGAUGAGGAGGGAGGCUAUGGCGGCCAGACAUGUCGCUUGGUUCUUGCUUGAGCCGGAUGGCCUGCGGAGCUCCUUGAUGAGAGCUAAGUACGGUGACUGGGCAUGGCACCAGACUUCCAAGCUGAUUGGUGUAGCUCCUUUAUAUGGCGGGAGGUGCUCUCGUGCUCCAGAGGUGACUGCUUGAAUUAGGUGGGAAGUCGAUGAUGGCUAGUCGACAGAUGUACUGAAUGAUACCUGGUUGUCUGAUCUUCCUAUUUGGCUGUGACCAACCUUGGUUGAUGUGGAGAGUUCGGGCUUUAGGGUGUGCGAUCUCUUCAGUCCGGGGGAGAGGAGAUGGGAUGCAGUGAAGGUUCAACACAUUUUUGAGGAUCAAUUGGCAGAGAGGAUUUUAGCCGUGUCGGUUCCUAGGAGGAGGACCUGAUAGGACCUGGAGUUCAACAAGCAUAUCCAAGUUAAGAGCCAGUGACCUUGGAGAGUUGUACAGAGUUGAGGCAUCUCGGUUGAUCGAUGGCGGCUGGCUUUGGAGGCUCCAUGUUCACCCCUGGGUUGCUUUAUUUCUCUGGAAGGUUGCAUGGGGCCUCCUUCCGACCAGAGGAGUUUUGAGCAGACGGAGUGUGAGGCUCCACUCUACCUGUGAUGGGUUGCGGAAUGUAGAGGAGUCCUUUGAGCAUGUGCUAUUUCGUUGCCCGAGGGCAUUCUAGGUGUGGUAGCUAAUCGGAGGCGGCUGAGGUUUCUUGCAGUCUCCGACUUCGGUCACAACCUUCCUCGCUUACCUGCAGGCAUGGAAUGCCGUACCGGCCCGUACCGGCCGGUACGGGCCGGUACGUACCGGUCCGGUCCGGUCCUAGACCGGUACCGGAACGGAUAAAAAACCGGUAUUUUCCGGUUUUUAUCCGAACCGGCUGGUACGGGUGCGUACCGGCCGGUACGGGCCCGUACCGGCCGGUACCGGCCUCGUACCGGUGCGAACCGGCCGGUUCGCACCGGACGUUUUUUUUUUUUUUAAGAACCACAGCGCCGCGCGCUGUGGUUUUUGAAACUACCGCAUACCGGCCGGUACGUACCGGACCGGUACCGUACCGGUCCGGCCGGCCACCGGUACGCCGACCGAUACCGGUACGGCGGACCUUGCCUGCAGGGAUCUCUCAGCAGACCUGUCACUAAUGCGAGGGGAGUCAGUGCUGCCUAUGUUGCUUAUCACAUAUGAUUGGACUGUUGAGUUACGCCCCCAUGCAAUGCGACGAUCGCAGCGGAAUAUCGCACGGGACGUCGUUCAUCGUAUGAACGCGCCACAGAUCGUAGAGUUCAAAAAUUUUUCCAGAUCCAAAUCCAGAAGACCUUUGAACUCAUGAAGGAGGGAAGAUUAGGAUCUGAAAGAGGUUGAUUAGAUAUCAUAAAAACUGAAACAAAAAUCAGAAACAAAGAUUCAAAGAUCUCAUCUUCAAACUUUGUGUAGGUGGAUAAACACCGCAGCCUGAUGAUAUUUGGAGGUUUCCGUUGCAGAGAUCAGAUUUCACUGGAGUGCUAGCUCCUUGCAGAGAUCUCUCAUGACUAUCAAUGAUGAUUAAGAAAAAUCAGCAACAUACCUCUUUGAAGAAGAACUCUUUCUUCUUCAACCUUGCUCGCGAUGGAGGAGGAGAAAGGAGAAGCUUGCACCGUGGAUCUUCCUUGCCUUACUGCCGUGGAAGAAGAAGAUGAAGAGGGCCUCUUGCUGCCGUGGAAGAGGAAGGAGAGGGCGGCGUGGAAAGGAAAGUCCCUUCUUUCCUUGGCGUGUAGGCUCCUCUCUAGGGUUCUCUUCUCAUGCUUCCAAUGGCACCUUGAAAGACGAAGAAGAAUGCCUCCUUGCUGCCGUGGGAGAAGAGGAGAGGAAGAGAGAGGAGGCGUGGAGAAGGAAACUCCAAUUCAUGCUCUCACACGCCUUCAAUGCCCUUUUUAUAAUUGAUGGCCUAGGAUUUUUUCAAGGCUUAUCAUGACAAAGAGAUAAACUCUUCAUAAUCGCCCACCCUUGGAUCAAUGCCAAGUGUCUAUGGCGCCAUGAUCAUGUGGAUUAGAAUCCACUUAGGUGGCGCCUCAAAUCAAUGCAUGACAUGUGUCCUUGAAUCUAGAGAUUUGAGCCUAAUCACAUUGGGCUUGGACCUCUUUCAUGGCGCCAUGGUUGAGUCCUAAUCACAUUAGGACUUGUCCCAUAAUUAGGCUAACUCUUAAUCACAUUAGGAGAAUUAGAUGGGGUGCCAUGCAUCCUACAACGACAUGUGAACUUUAGAGUCCGCAUGGUGUGAACACGACUUAAUGCAUUUUCAUCCUACAAUGCCAUUGGAUUUUAAAAUCCGCAUAGUGUGAACACGACUUAAGGCAUAUAUCCUGAUCUAAUCAGGGUUGACCCAAUCAUGAGCCGAACCCAAUUUGAUUUGGCUCAUUAAAUCAGCCCAAUUGCAAUCUAAUUGCAAUCAAUUCCUCUUAAUUCUUCUUCCAUUAACCCAUUAACAUUUAGUAGGUUAAUUCAAUCACCAAUCAUAUUGAUAAUUGACAUCAAUUGUGAUUCUAAAUCACAAUUAUGAUAGUCUAACUAAUCAAAUCCUCUAUGUGUGAGACUCAGUAGGUUUUAUUCUGUCUGGUAGUGAGACAUAUUGAGAUCUCCAUCUCAAUAUCACUGAAACUUCUUUCAGUGGACCGAAACAAUUUCAGUUCUACUCUUAGGGUUCAUUGAUCACUAAGUGAAUGCCUUCGAGUCUAACAAUUCACUAAUGACACCUAGCACUAUGUGGUGGCAAUCUAGCAAUUCACUAAUCAGGGUUGACCCAAUCAUGAGCCCAACUCAAUUUGGGUCGAACCCAAUUUGAUU
This 3144-nucleotide long non-coding RNA is filed under the name Phoenix dactylifera (date palm). Its description in RNAcentral is "long non-coding RNA (PDAC_LNC006532)". The record is from RNAcentral. Lineage: Eukaryota; Viridiplantae; Streptophyta; Magnoliopsida; Arecales; Arecaceae.